GCCCUAUGGUGUACGGUGGCACUGGCGGUCUCUAAAACCGCAUAUCUUCUGAGGAUGACAGGGUGGGUUCGACUCCUACUAGGGCGU
This 87-nucleotide transfer RNA is filed under the name Crassvirales sp. RNAcentral's name for it is "tRNA-OTHER". It matches the Rfam family "tRNA". From Rfam's summary of the family: Transfer RNA (tRNA) molecules are approximately 80 nucleotides in length. Lineage: Duplodnaviria; Heunggongvirae; Uroviricota; Caudoviricetes; Crassvirales. The record is from RNAcentral.